This 497-nucleotide ribosomal RNA is filed under the name uncultured bacterium. Its description in RNAcentral is "partial 16S ribosomal RNA". It matches the Rfam family "Bacterial small subunit ribosomal RNA", at positions 28 to 507 of the family's 1533-position model. The record is from RNAcentral.
GAUGAACGCUGGCGGCGUGCCUAAUACAUGCAAGUCGAGCGAACAGACGAGGAGCUUGCUCCUCUGACGUUAGCGGCGGACGGGUGAGUAACACGUGGAUAACCUACCUAUAAGACUGGGAUAACUUCGGGAAACCGGAGCUAAUACCGGAUAAUAUAUUGUACCGCAUGGUUCAAUAGUGAAAGACGGUUUUGCUGUCACUUAUAGAUGGAUCCGCGCCGCAUUAGCUAGUUGGUAAGGUAACGGCUUACCAAGGCAACGAUGCGUAGCCGACCUGAGAGGGUGAUCGGCCACACUGGAACUGAGACACGGUCCAGACUCCUACGGGAGGCAGCAGUAGGGAAUCUUCCGCAAUGGGCGAAAGCUUGACGGAGCAACGCCGCGUGAGUGAUGAAGGUCUUCGGAUCGUAAAACUCUGUUAUUAGGGAAGAACAAAUGUGUAAGUAACUAUGCACGUCUUGACGGUACCUAAUCAGAAAGCCACGGCUAACUACGUG